Molecule: ribosomal RNA, 254 nt
Filed under: uncultured bacterium
Lineage: Bacteria
Description: partial 16S ribosomal RNA
Rfam family: Bacterial small subunit ribosomal RNA
Source: RNAcentral
UACAUGUGGGGCAAGCGUUGUCCGGAAUUAUUGGGCGUAAAGAGCUCGUAGGCGGUCUGUCGCGUCGGUCGUGAAAACUUGGGGCUUAACCCUGAGCUUGCGGUCGAUACGGGCAUGACUGGAGUUCGGUAGGGGAGACUGGAAUUCCUGGUGUAGCGGUGGAAUGCGCAGAUAUCAGGAGGAACACCGGUGGCGAAGGCGGGUCUCUGGGCCGAAACUGACGCUGAGGAGCGAAAGCGUGGGGAGCGAACAGG